AAGAAGGGCAGACGGUGGAUGCCUAGGCUCUCGGAGGCGAAGAAGGACGUGAUAAGCUGCGAAAAGCUCGGGGGAGGUGCAAAUAACCUUUGAUCCCGAGAUAUCCGAAUGGGGUAACCCGGCUGGUUGAAGGCCAGUCACACCGUAAGGUGAGCGAACGUGGGGAACUGAAACAUCUAAGUACCCACAGGAAGAGAAAAUAAGAAUGAUUGCGUAAGUAGUGGCGAGCGAACGCGCAAGAGCCCAAACCAUGGUUGUUUCGGCAUCACAUGGGGUUGUAGGACCGCGACGUAGCAAGAAAAGAUGAAAGUGGAACCCGCUGGAAAGAGGGCCAUAGAGGGUGAAAGUCCCGUACACGAAUUCAUUUUGAAGCUUAGCGGUAUCCUGAGUAGGGCGGGACACGUGAAAUCCUGUCUGAAUCUGCGGGGCCCAUCCCGUAAGGCUAAAUACUUCCGAGAGACCGAUAGCGAACCAGUACCGUGAGGGAAAGGUGAAAAGAACCUCGAACAGAGGAGUGAAAUAGACCCUGAACCCGUCUGCCUACAAGCGGUCGGAGCACUGUAUACGUGUGACGGCGUGCCUUUUGCAUAAUGAACCUACGAGUUACUUUUUUUGGCAAGGUUAAGUGUCAUGUAGGCAUGUAGCCGAAGCGAAAGCGAGUCUGAAGAGGGCGGAUAGUCAAAAGGAGUAGACGCGAAACCAAGUGAUCUACCCAUGAUCAGGUUGAAGGUUAGGUAACACUAACUGGAGGACCGAAUGGAUAUACGUUGAAAAGUGUUCCAAUGAAUUGUGGGUAGGGGUGAAAGGCUAAUCAAACUUGGAGAUAGCUCGUACUCCCCGAAAUGCAUUUAGGUGCAGCCUCGGGUGUUUUUGAUGAGAGGUAGAGCGACUGAUUGGAUGCGAGGGCUUCACCGCCUAUCAAGUCCAGACAAACUCCGAAUGCUCAUCAUAUGGAUCCCGGGAGUGAGGGCAUGGGUGCUAAGGUCCAUGUCCGAAAGGAGAAGAAUCCAGACCAUCAGCUAAGGUCCCGAAAUAGCCGCUCAGUUGCAUUUAACGAAGUCAGACCGCAUAGACAGCUAGGAUGUUGGCUUGGAAGCAGCCAUUCAUUUAAAGAGUGCGUAACAGCUCACUAGUCGAGGGGUCUGGCAUGGAUAAUAAUCGGGCAUAAGCGGUUUACCGAAGCUAUGGAUAUCGCAAGAUAUGGUAGGGGAGCAUUCCAUACUCUGCGUUGAAGAUAAGGGGUGACCUUUGUUGGAGCGUAUGGAAAAGCAAAUGUAGGUAUGAGUAACGAUAAAGGAGGUGAAAAACCUCCUCGCCGAAAGACCAAGGAUUCCUGAUCAACGCUAAUCGGAUCAGGGUUAGUCGGGGCCUAAGGAUAAGCCGAAGGGCGAUUCCGAUGGAAGAGCCGGUUAAUAUUCCGGCACUGCUAUAUUGAGCGAUGUGGGGACGGAGAAGUGACAGCACUGCCAACGGAUGGAAUAGUUGGUUGAAGGGUGUAGACGUUGAUUGCGGCAGGCAAAUCCGCCGCGAGAGUCGAACCUGACAGUAUGCAGCGUACUUGUACAAUGUAAUAUGUGCGUAAACAGGCUCCCAAGAAAAUCCGCUAAGCAUAUUGAUAUAGCACUCGUACUGUAAACGGACACACGUGGUCGGGUAGAAAAUACUAAGGCGCUCGAGAGAUUCACGGUUAAGGAACUAGGCAAAAUGGUCCUGUAACUUCGGGAUAAAGGACGCCACUGGCGACAGUGGCCGCAGAGAAUCGGCCCAGGCGACUGUUUAACAAAAACACAUGACUAUGC
RNAcentral lists this ribosomal RNA (1799 nucleotides) under Tannerella forsythia. Its description in RNAcentral is "bacterial LSU rRNA". It matches the Rfam family "Bacterial large subunit ribosomal RNA", at positions 10 to 1826 of the family's 2925-position model. The record is from RNAcentral. Lineage: Bacteria; Pseudomonadati; Bacteroidota; Bacteroidia; Bacteroidales; Tannerellaceae.